GCCCAGGGGCAGUCACCUGAUUACAAGAGAGGACCUGGAAACCAGCUCAUGUGACCCACACAUUCCACAUGCUUGCUGGAGUGGAGCUUUGGGGACUUUGCAGAAUUACUGGAAUCACGUGGGAUAUGCAGAGGGAAAUGACAGGGUGGAGGACAUUUAGCUUAACCGUGCACUAGAAGAACAGAUAACGCCCUGCCAGAAGAUUAAAAGUGCCGUAUACAAUUUAAGCAUCUAUGGGAGACAAGUCAGAAUCUGAGGACAAUCCACCAGGAGGGCUUGGUACCCGCAGUUAUAAGGCGACUGCGAUAUUUGGAAAUAAGAAGCCAAAAAAUCAAGCAAGCAUCCGACAGGACAGACAGUGGAUUCACUCAGAACACAAUAUGCUGGUGAUAAAUGAAUGCAGCUAUCAAAAUUAGCUGCAUUGGCCUGGGG
Nyctereutes procyonoides (raccoon dog) is the source of this 432-nucleotide long non-coding RNA. RefSeq lists it as uncharacterized. Lineage: Eukaryota; Metazoa; Chordata; Mammalia; Carnivora; Canidae. The transcript is spliced from 3 exons. The record is from RefSeq and is a predicted model, not a curated record.